UCCUGGCUUAGGAUGAACGCUGGCGGCGUGCUUAACACAUGCAAGUCGAACGGAGUUUUAACGGAAGUUUCGGAUGGAAGUUAGAACUUAGUGGCGGACGGGUGAGUAACGCGUGGGUAACCUGCCUCAUACAGGGGGGAUAACAGUUAGAAAUGACUGCUAACACCGCAUAAUAUAGCGAAACCGCAUGAUUUUGCUAUCAAAUAUUUAUAGGUAUGAGAUGGGCCCGCGUCUGAUUAGCUAGUUGGUGGGGUAAAGGCCUACCAAGGCGACGAUCAGUAGCCGGCUUGAGAGAGUGACCGGCCACAUUGGGACUGAGACACGGCCCAAACUCCUACGGGAGGCAGCAGUGGGGAAUAUUGGACAAUGGGGGAAACCCUGAUCCAGCGAACCGCCGCGUGAGUGAAGAAGUAUUUCGGUAUGUAAAGCUCUAUCAGCAGGGAAGAUAAUGACAGUACCUGACUAAGAAGCCCCGGCUAACUACGUGCCAGCAGCCGC
This 498-nucleotide ribosomal RNA is filed under the name uncultured bacterium. RNAcentral's name for it is "bacterial SSU rRNA". It matches the Rfam family "Bacterial small subunit ribosomal RNA", at positions 17 to 518 of the family's 1533-position model. The record is from RNAcentral.